Molecule: ribosomal RNA, 744 nt
Filed under: uncultured bacterium
Lineage: Bacteria
Description: bacterial SSU rRNA
Rfam family: Bacterial small subunit ribosomal RNA
Source: RNAcentral
AGAGUUUGAUCCUGGCUCAGAACGAACGCUGGCGGCAGGCCUCAAACAUGCAAGUCUAGGGGGUGUAGCAAUACAUCACCGGCGGACGGGUGCGUAACGCGUGGGAAUAUACCUUUUGGUUCGGAACAACUGAGGGAAACUUCAGCUAAUACCGAAUGUGCCCUUACGGGGAAAGAUUUAUCGCCAAAGGAUUAGCCCGCGUAGGAUUAGCUAGUUGGUGAGGUAAUGGCUCACCAAGGCUCCGAUCCUUAGCUGUUCUGAGAGGAAGAUCAGCCACACUGGGACUGAGACACGGCCCAGACUCCUACGGGAGGCAGCAGUUGGGAAUCUUGGACAAUGGGGGAAACCCUGAUCCAGCCAUGCCGCGUGAGUGAUGAAGGCCUUCGGGUUGUAAAACUCUUUCGACGGGGACGAUAAUGACGGUACCCGUAGAAGAAGCUCCGGCUAACUUCGUACCAGCAGCCGCGGUAAUACGAAGGGGGCUAGCGUUGUUCGGAAUUACUGGGCGUAAAGCGCGCGCAGGCGGUCUUUCAAGUCAGUGGUGAAAGCCCGGAGCUCAACUCCGGAAAUGCCAUUGAAACUGUGAGACUUGAGGAUGAGAGAGGUGAGUGGAAUUCCCAGUGUAGAGGUGAAAUUCGUAGAUAUUGGGAAGAACACCGGUGGCGAAGGCGGCUCACUGGCUCAUUUCUGACGCUCAGGCGCGACAGCGUGGGGAUCAAACAGGAUUAGAUACCCUAGUAGUCC